AGCGAACGCUGGCGGCAGGCUUAACACAUGCAAGUCGAGCGGGCCCUUCGGGGUCAGCGGCGGACGGGUGAGUAACGCGUGGGAACGUGCCUUCUGGUCUGGAAUAACCCUGGGAAACUAGGGCUAAUACCGGAUACGCCCUUUUGGGGAAAGGUUUACUGCCGGAAGAUCGGCCCGCGUCUGAUUAGCUAGUUGGUGGGGUAACGGCCUACCAAGGCGACGAUCAGUAGCUGGUCUGAGAGGAUGAUCAGCCACACUGGGACUGAGACACGGCCCAGACUCCUACGGGAGGCAGCAGUGGGGAAUAUUGGACAAUGGGCGCAAGCCUGAUCCAGCCAUGCCGCGUGAGUGAUGAAGGCCUUAGGGUUGUAAAGCUCUUCUAUCCGGGACGAUAAUGACGGUACCGGAGGAAUAAGCCCCGGCUAACUUCGUG
This 433-nucleotide ribosomal RNA is filed under the name uncultured bacterium. RNAcentral's name for it is "partial 16S ribosomal RNA". It matches the Rfam family "Bacterial small subunit ribosomal RNA", at positions 29 to 507 of the family's 1533-position model. The record is from RNAcentral.